This 495-nucleotide ribosomal RNA is filed under the name uncultured bacterium. RNAcentral describes it as "partial 16S ribosomal RNA". It matches the Rfam family "Bacterial small subunit ribosomal RNA", at positions 29 to 506 of the family's 1533-position model. The record is from RNAcentral.
AUGCACGCUGGCGGCGUGCCUAAUACAUGCAAGUCGAGCGAACAGACGAGGAGCUUGCUCCUCUGACGUUAGCGGCGGACGGGUGAGUAACACGUGGAUAACCUACCUAUAAGACUGGGAUAACUUCGGGAAACCGGAGCUAAUACCGGAUAAUAUAUUGAACCGCAUGGUUCAAUAGUGAAAGACGGUUUUGCUGUCACUUAUAGAUGGAUCCGCGCCGCAUUAGCUAGUUGGUAAGGUAACGGCUUACCAAGGCAACGAUGCGUAGCCGACCUGAGAGGGUGAUCGGCCACACUGGAACUGAGACACGGUCCAGACUCCUACGGGAGGCAGCAGUAGGGAAUCUUCCGCAAUGGGCGAAAGCCUGACGGAGCAACGCCGCGUGAGUGAUGAAGGUCUUCGGAUCGUAAAACUCUGUUAUUAGGGAAGAACAAAUGUGUAAGUAACUAUGCACGUCUGGACGGUACCUAAUCAGAAAGCCACGGCUAACUACGU